Molecule: ribosomal RNA, 417 nt
Filed under: uncultured bacterium
Lineage: Bacteria
Description: bacterial SSU rRNA
Rfam family: Bacterial small subunit ribosomal RNA
Source: RNAcentral
AUAUUGGUCAAUGGCCGGAAGGCUGAACCAGCCAUGCCGCGUGAAGGUCAGUGCCCUAUGGGCGUUAAACUUCUUUUGUGCGGGAGCAAUAAUUGUCACGUGUGGCCAGACGAGAGUACCGUACGAAUAAGCAUCGGCUCACUCCGUGCCAGCAGCCACGGUAAUACGGGGGAUGCAAGCGUUAUCCGGAUUUAUUGGGUUUAAAGGGUGCGUAGGCUGUGAGUUAAGUCAGCGGUGAAAUGCCCCCGCUCAACGGGGUGAAGUGCCAUUGAUACUGCCUUGCUGGAAUGCGGAUGCCGUGGGAGGAAUGUGUGGUGUAGCGGUGAAAUGCAUAGAUAUCACACAGAACACCGAUUGCGAAGGCAUCUCACGAAUCCGCGAUUGACGCUGAUGCACGAAAGCGUGGGUAUCAAACAG